CAAUCGAAGCACAUCUUGUUAUCGGAUUUCGCUUUGAGCUUUCUGAACACAGCAUUUUUGUCGGUAAAGUUUUCAGACGCCAUUGAUCGUGGUCACACACACAAAGUCUCCGAAGAGGUGAGGUUAUUGGCUCCAGCACCUCUUCAGGGAGAGGGAAACGCAGAGAGACGCCGAGAGAGAGAGAGAGAGAAUUCGAAUUCG
This 201-nucleotide unclassified non-coding RNA is filed under the name Hevea brasiliensis (rubber tree). The record is from RNAcentral. Lineage: Eukaryota; Viridiplantae; Streptophyta; Magnoliopsida; Malpighiales; Euphorbiaceae.